This 775-nucleotide ribosomal RNA is filed under the name uncultured Neocallimastigales. RNAcentral describes it as "partial large subunit ribosomal RNA". It matches the Rfam family "Eukaryotic large subunit ribosomal RNA", at positions 19 to 646 of the family's 3401-position model. Lineage: Eukaryota; Fungi; Neocallimastigomycota; Neocallimastigomycetes; Neocallimastigales. The record is from RNAcentral.
GAGCACGCGCGUGUGGCAUAUCAAUAAGCGGAGGAAAAGAAACUAACAAGGAUUCCCCUAGUAACGGCGAGUGAAGCGGGAAGAGCUCAAAUUUGAAAUCUUAAAGGGUUUCCCUUUACGAAUUGUAGUUUAAAGAAGUGUUUUCUGUUGGAGUUUCGGUAAAAGUUCUUUGGAAUAGGACAUCAUAGAGGGUGAGAAUCCCGUAUUUGACCGUUACUUUCCAGCUGUGUGAUACACUUUCAAAGAGUCGGAUUGUUUGGGAAUGCAGUCCAAAAUGGGUGGUAAAUUUCAUCUAAAGCUAAAUAUUGGCGAGAGACCGAUAGCGAACAAGUACCGUGAGGGAAAGAUGAAAAGAACUUUGAAAAGAGAGUUAAACAGUACGUGAAAUUGUCAAAAGGGAAGCGUUUGACACCAGUGUUGUUUAGUUGAAAAUCAAUUAAAUAUUUUUCGAUUUUAAGUAGUAUUGACCUUAUCAGCUUGCUGCUUUCUUUUCAGGAAAUUAUUUAAUGCACUUUUCAGUUAACAAGUCAACAUCAAUUUCUUUUGUUGUAAAAAGGUAAGAGGAAGGUGGCUUGCGCUUCGGCUCAAGUGUUUAUAGCCUUUUACCCCUGCAAUCGGAGAGAUUGAGGUCUGCAGCGUAGAUCCUUCGGGGUUAGAUACAUUUGUGCUAAGCUAUAGCCUUGUAUAGACAACUUGUUGACUAUGCUCAGUCAUGUAGCUUACUCGCUUAUGCUAUUUUACCUACGCUUAGGAUGUUGAUGUGAUACUGCGAGCA